This 446-nucleotide ribosomal RNA is filed under the name uncultured bacterium. Its description in RNAcentral is "partial 16S ribosomal RNA". It matches the Rfam family "Bacterial small subunit ribosomal RNA", at positions 338 to 795 of the family's 1533-position model. The record is from RNAcentral.
CCUACGGGUGGCAGCAGUCGAGAAUCAUUCACAAUGGGGGCAACCCUGAUGGUGCGAUGCCGCGUGGGUGAAUGAAGGUCUUCGGAUUGUAAACCCCUGGCAUGUGGGAGCAAAUUAAAAAGAUAGUACCACAAGAGGAAGAGACUGCUAACUCUGUGCCAGCAGCCUCGGUAAUACAGAGGGCUCAAGCGGUGUUCGGAAUCACUGGGCGUAAAGCGUGCGUAGGCUGUUUCGCAAGUCGUGUGUGAAAGGCGCGGGCUCAACCCGCGAACUGCAUAUGAUACUGCGAGACUAGAGUAAUGGAGGGGGGACCAGAAUUCCAGGUGUAGCAGUGAAAUGCGUAGAUAUCGAGAGGAACACUCGUGGCGAAGGCGGGUUCCUGGACAUUAACUGACGCUGAGGCACGAAGGCCAGGGGAGCGAAAGGGAUUAGAUACCCCAGUAGUC